Molecule: transfer RNA, 148 nt
Filed under: Armatimonadota bacterium
Lineage: Bacteria; Bacillati; Armatimonadota
Description: Armatimonadetes bacterium (rhizosphere metagenome) tRNA-OTHER
Source: RNAcentral
GGAGAGUGUGGCGGAACAGCAGACGCGCGUCGCUCGCCGCAAGGCGAUCUCCGUCGCCGCCCUUUGCCCAGACACGGGCCGCAGGCGCAUGGUUAUCUGGGACGGCGUGGUGGCAACACCGUGCGGGUUCAACUCCCGCCACUCUCCA